Molecule: ribosomal RNA, 141 nt
Filed under: uncultured eukaryote
Lineage: Eukaryota
Description: partial 18S ribosomal RNA
Rfam family: Eukaryotic small subunit ribosomal RNA
Source: RNAcentral
UGGUGGAGUGAUUUGUCUGGUUAAUUCCGUUAACGAACGAGACCGCCGCCUGCUAAAUAGACCCGCGAAUGGCUUUUCAUUGGCGAGGUCUUCUUAGAGGGACGUUCAUUCUACAAGAUAAGGAAGAUGGCGGCAAUAACA